Molecule: ribosomal RNA, 445 nt
Filed under: uncultured soil bacterium
Lineage: Bacteria
Description: bacterial SSU rRNA
Rfam family: Bacterial small subunit ribosomal RNA
Source: RNAcentral
AGAGCGAACGCUGGCGGCAGGCCUAACACAUGCAAGUCGAACGGACCCUUCGGGGUUAGUGGCGGACGGGUGAGUAACACGUGGGAACGUGCCUUUUGGUUCGGAAUAGCUCCUGGAAACGGGUGGUAAUGCCGAAUGUGCCCUUCGGGGGAAGAUUUAUCGCCAUUAGAGCGGCCCGCGUCUGAUUAGCUAGUUGGCGAGGUAAAGGCUCACCAAGCCGACGAUCCUUAGCUGGUCUGAGAGGAUGAUCAGCCACACUGGGACUGAGACACGGCCCAGACUCCUACGGGAGGCAGCAGUAGGGAAUAUUGGACAAGUGGGGGCAACCCUGAUCCAGCAAUGCCGCGUGAGUGAUGAAGGCCUUAGGGUUAGUAAAGCUUCGUUUACCGAGUAUAGAUAAUGACAGUAUCGGAGAAUAAGCUACCGGCUAACUCCGUGACCAGCA